GCCCAGAUGGGAUUAGCUUGUUGGUGAGGUAACGGCUCACCAAGGCGACGAUCCCUAGCUGGUCUGAGAGGAUGACCAGCCACACUGGAACUGAGACACGGUCCAGACUCCUACGGGAGGCAGCAGUGGGGAAUAUUGCACAAUGGGCGCAAGCCUGAUGCAGCCAUGCCGCGUGUAUGAAGAAGGCCUUCGGGUUGUAAAGUACUUUCAGCGGGGAGGAAGGUGUUGUGGUUAAUAACCACAGCAAUUGACGUUACCCGCAGAAGAAGCACCGGCUAACUCCGUGCCAGCAGCCGCGGUAAUACGGAGGGUGCAAGCGUUAAUCGGAAUUACUGGGCGUAAAGCGCACGCAGGCGGUCUGUCAAGUCGGAUGUGAAAUCCCCGGGCUCAACCUGGGAACUGCAUUCGAAACUGGCAGGC
This 420-nucleotide ribosomal RNA is filed under the name Salmonella enterica. RNAcentral describes it as "bacterial SSU rRNA". It matches the Rfam family "Bacterial small subunit ribosomal RNA", at positions 229 to 641 of the family's 1533-position model. Lineage: Bacteria; Pseudomonadati; Pseudomonadota; Gammaproteobacteria; Enterobacterales; Enterobacteriaceae. RNAcentral also lists the same sequence under 1 other name. The record is from RNAcentral.